Sarcophilus harrisii (Tasmanian devil) is the source of this 572-nucleotide long non-coding RNA. RefSeq lists it as uncharacterized. The record is from RefSeq and is a predicted model, not a curated record. The transcript has 3 exons. Lineage: Eukaryota; Metazoa; Chordata; Mammalia; Dasyuromorphia; Dasyuridae.
AGUAACGAUUUCUUUUUUCAUCCCAGAAAUUACCAAAGUAGACUGUACUUUGAGGUAUAACUCAGACAAAGUGGGUAGGGAAAGUCACCCUUAAUCUAUCAAUUUCCAGAGCAUCUAGACCAAUGAAUUCAUGGGACAUUGGAAAAUUACCAAAGUAGACUGUACAUAACUCAGACAAGAUGGGUAGGGAAAGUCACCCUUAAUCUAUCAAUUUCCAGAGCAUCUAGACCAAUGAAUUCAUGGGACAUUGGAAUAUUCCCGGGAGAUUUUCAUGGGAAUGCUGAUCAAAUGAAAAGAUCAAGAAAAUAGCAAAUAAGCUCACUGAUGAAAGCACUCCUGAAUGUUUUCUUCUGAUAAAUUGUGAAGAAUUUACCCUUAGAGAGAAAUGAGGGUUCUCCAUAAAAUAAAAUGUUUUUAUAACAUUUUCCUCAAAAGAAUGAUAACAUGGUUACACUUUUCAAGAUUACUCUUCUUUUUUCUUUAGGGGAAGUAUUUCUGGUAAACAUUGUGCUGCAAGGGUGUGAUAUAAUUUUUCACACAGGCUAAACUUGUAAUUAAUAAUAAAAUUCUAA